CACAUGCAAGUCGCACGAGAAAGUUGGCUUUCGGCCAUGAGUUACAGUGGCGGACGGGUGAGUAACACGUGGGUAAUCUGCCCUUCGGUGGGGGAUAACUGUCCGAAAGGAUAGCUAAUACCGCAUUCGUCGGCGGGGGUGCGCCCCCUGUCGGGAAAGCCGACCUCUUCAUGAAAGUUGGCGCCGGAGGAUGAGCCCGCGUCCCAUCAGCUAGUUGGCGGUGUAAGAGACCACCAAGGCAAAGACGGGUAGCUGGUCUGAGAGGAUGAUCAGCCACACUGGGACUGAGACACGGCCCAGACUCCUACGGGAGCAGCAGUGGGGAAUAUUGGGCAAUGGCGCAAGCCUGACCCAGCCACGCCGCGUGAGUGAUGAAGGCCUUCGGGUCGUAAAGCUCUGUGGGGAGGGACGAAAAGACGCUGGCUAACAUCCAGCGGGCUGACGGUACCUCCUUAGCAAGCACCGGCUAACUCCGUGCCAGCAGCCGCGGUAA
Molecule: ribosomal RNA, 493 nt
Filed under: uncultured delta proteobacterium
Lineage: Bacteria; Deltaproteobacteria
Description: bacterial SSU rRNA
Rfam family: Bacterial small subunit ribosomal RNA
Source: RNAcentral